GUUGGCAUGAUGAUGAUGAGUUAAAAAAAAAUUGCCGUUUACCCAACUGAGGGCUUCCUUGAAGUAACUUGAAAUCUGAUGUGCCAAA
RNAcentral lists this small nucleolar RNA (88 nucleotides) under Notamacropus eugenii (tammar wallaby). Its description in RNAcentral is "Small nucleolar RNA SNORD87 (ENSMEUG00000017554.1)". The record is from RNAcentral. Lineage: Eukaryota; Metazoa; Chordata; Mammalia; Diprotodontia; Macropodidae.